This 549-nucleotide ribosomal RNA is filed under the name uncultured Glomeromycotina. RNAcentral describes it as "SSU rRNA". It matches the Rfam family "Eukaryotic small subunit ribosomal RNA", at positions 548 to 1097 of the family's 1831-position model. The record is from RNAcentral. Lineage: Eukaryota; Fungi; Glomeromycota.
UUGGAGGGCAGUCUGGUGCCAGCAGCCGCGGUAAUUCCAGCUCCAAUAGCGUAUAUUAAAGUUGUUGCAGUUAAAAAGCUCGUAGUUGAAUUUCGGGAUUCAUCCGUUGGUCGGGCUUCACGGUCCGUACUGGUGUGAUGGGUUCCUACCUUCUGAAUAACCGGCAUGCCAUUAAUUUGGUGCGCCGGGGAAGCAGAACUAUUACCUUGAAAAAAUUAGAGUGCUUAAAGCAGGCAAGUGCCUGAAUAGGUUAGCAUGGAAUAAUAAAAUAGGACGGCAUGGUUCUAUUUUGUUGGUUUCUAGGAUCACCGUAAUGAUUAAUAGGGAUAGUUGGGGGCAUUAGUAUUCAAUUGUCAGAGGUGAAAUUCUUGGAUUUAUUGAAGACUAACUUCUGCGAAAGCAUUUGCCAAGGAUGUUUUCAUUAAUCAAGAACGAAAGUUAGGGGAUCGAAGACGAUCAGAUACCGUCGUAGUCUUAACCAUAAACUAUGCCGACUAGGGAUCGGACGAUGUUAAUUUUUUAAUGACUCGUUCGGCGCCUUACGGGAAA